Molecule: ribosomal RNA, 499 nt
Filed under: uncultured bacterium
Lineage: Bacteria
Description: partial 16S ribosomal RNA
Rfam family: Bacterial small subunit ribosomal RNA
Source: RNAcentral
GACGAACGCUGGCGGCGUGCUUAACACAUGCAAGUCGAACGGGCCCGCCCCUGUUUUUGGGGGUGGGUUGAGUGGCGAACGGGUGAGUAUCACGUGAGUAACCUGCCCCCUGCUCCUGGAUAACUGCUUGAAAGGGCGGCUAAUACGGGGUGUGCCGGCUGGUCCGCAUGGGCCUGGUCGGGAUAGUUUCAUCUUCGGGUGUUUCGGUGGGGGAUGGGCUCGCGGCCUAUCAGCUUGUUGGUGGGGUGAUGGCCCACCAAGGCGGUGACGGGUAGCCGGCCUGAGAGGGUGGGCGGCCACACUGGGACUGAGACACGGCCCAGACUCCUGCGGGAGGCAGCAGUGGGGGGUAUUGCACAAUGGGCGGAAGCCUGAUGCAGCGACGUCGCGUGAGGGAUGGAGGCCUUCGGGUGGUGAACCUCUUUCUCCGGUGGUGAAGGCCCUGUCCGUUGCGGCGGGGUUGACGGUAGCCGGGGAUGAAGCGCCGGCUAACUACGUG